Molecule: long non-coding RNA, 4297 nt
Organism: Triticum dicoccoides
Lineage: Eukaryota; Viridiplantae; Streptophyta; Magnoliopsida; Poales; Poaceae
Exons: 5
Source: RefSeq, a predicted model, not a curated record
AUCGCCACCGCCGUCACACAGAAGACAGUGCAGGAGCUGUCGCCGCUGCCCGCCCCCCAUCUCCUCCCCUGAUCCAACUAAACAUCCCAUAAACUGAAAAAGAGGGUGAUUGGUUAGGAUGCUGCAGCAGCUAACAAGAUGGGAAGACAACUCACUUUGCCCCUCCUCCAAGCACAUCUGCGACUCUUCGAUCUGCUUCUCUCCCUUGCAAGAUAUGAGUUUCUUAUGUAUCAUUGCUGCAUCCUGUUGCACACAUGCAAUUCUAUUGUUUUGUGUAAGAUCCAUUGACUUUUGUGGAGAAGUUCGCGUCACGAUGGAAUUCUGUUGUCAAGGUCGCCAUGUCGGCAAGCUCGUUGGUGUCGUACUGCCCCAACAGGAGCGCCAUCGGGUCGGCGGCGCUGCUGGCAGCUGCAACCAUGGAUGAUGGAAAUUGUGAGUCCUGCAAAAUCUGUACGUGGGUUAGGAUAACAGGUUGAGCCAUCUGUUCCUCUACAGUCAAACACUUGAUUGGGAUGUUCUAUCCAUGAUGGGAUCAGAUUCAUGAAACUCGACCUAUUGAAGAAGUUUCAGUCCAGCUUCACUCACCGCCUUUCAUUGUCAUCGAGACAAUCGACAUUGCUCAGAACGCCGCAUCCCCAGCCUACUCUCUCUUCACCCGUCAAUGCUCAUGUGCUCCGACCCUCCCCGACCCCUCCCAGCAAGCAGCAGAGUCUCUCUUGUUCGAGCUCCACCGGGCCGGCGGCGGCGACGUCCAUGUUCGUUGGGCGGAGCACAACGCUGGGGUUGAAAUCCACCAUGCUGCUACUGAUGAGGCUCUCCUCCUUUGUCCACCGGUUAUCAGACAACUGCAUAUGAGACGUCCAUCAUCGUACACUCAUUUGAUCGUGCUGAUGCGCCUGGCUGUGGGAUGGCUUCUGCCGGGAUGCUCCGAGGUGAGGCCAACUCAUGAACUUGCUAAGACGUCUUUACCUUAAAUUACAAUUUCUUAUUAUGAUCUUGAACGAAUACUAAGGCUUGCAUCUUUUAUAAAGCUUGCCAGUUACUGUGUAGUUUCAGUUAACAUGAAAGUCACCUGUGGUGAAUCUCUUUUCUGGUCCACAGAUUUCACGAAUCCAUUAUGACGAAAUAGGGUGGCCGCCCGCUUUAUUUCAUGAAUCCAUUAUCGCCUACAGAAUAACGUCCUGGCCCUCCCAGUUUGAGUGAUUCUCUUUAUUUUGCUAUAUCUCAACUGUGCAUGCAUCGUUUAUGUUUGCCGGCCCGCACCCCCGUGUCUCCUCACGUUAAUGUGGCUGCUGGCCGCGGGACUGACGAGGAGGUCAUGGUGGAGCGGUGGUGCUGGCUGUGGCCUACCAGGAUAUCAUAAGUUCUGCCUUGUUCUUUUGUGUUUGAAUCAGAUUUAAUGGUUCUUGCUUUUACAGGCAUGCAUCGAUCUUGCUCCUGUUCUGUAUGUAGGUUACACUUAAUGUUUUAUGGGAUGUUCUGCAGAUUUUUAGAACACUAAGGGCAUAUCUUGGCUUGAAUGCUGCUGGCCCGAUGAAGGUCAUGCAACAUGGCAGGUGAGUGCUCCUCUCCCCUUUCCCUCUAUGCUAAAAAUUAGUUCCAAUUUCCAUGCAAGUUCGCCAAUUUAGAUCUAGAGGUAAAGGUUCUGUACGAGGUUAGUUAGCAAGGUCUUGCUGGUGACUACUUGAACUCAAGUUGGACAACAUAUGCAAUGUCCAAUUCAGCGAGAUAUCAUGACUCGAUUUCACUUUCAUUCCAUAGUUGAGAUCAUAAUUUUAUUGAUAUUUUGCAUCUUUUAUAGAUAUAGAUUGAUAACAUUUAAUGAUGUUAUAGGAUCUGUACGAGGUUAACAUUAUAUAUAUAUAUAUAUAUAUAUAUAAUGAUUAGAAAAAGAGACACCACAUGUCUUAUGGAUCAAAACUGAUACUUGCUCAUGCUGGCAUCUCAAGGAAUUUUAAAUUCCAAAUACACGUGUGCAUGUGUCCACUUGGAAGCUACUUGUUCAUGAGUUGUUCGAGACAAAAACCCAGUCUAUAUGAUUGACUGCUCUCCUAUUUUUUUUAUGUGUGCGCCUGCUCCGUGCUCUUUUGUUCCCAGCAGGCUAUUGUGUUGAUCCGUGGGGAUUUCUUUUUACCCCUGCCAUUGGUUUUCUCUGUAAAACGCAGGUGUUCCAAAUACUUUUCUUUUAUAAAAAAUUUGGGCUGUCAUAGCCUUUUCUCUGGAAGCGUUGAUUGUUAAACUACUAAAAUGUUUUCUGUAGGUUUUGCUUACUCGUGGCUGUAUGUUGGCUUCGUGCUGGUGGGCUAUAGUUCUCCUGUCACAAAUCAUGGAGACAUUCAUCCUCGCAGAUUUCUGCUCCUGCUAUGUGAAAAGGGCAAUCCACAACAUGAAUAUACAUGUAGCAAUGGUGUGCCCUUGGAACAUCCUGCAGUAAGCCCUCUCAAAGAAUCCUUAUGAAGUAUUCCUAGAGUUUGGUGGAUAUGACCGGAGUGAUAUUUUCAUAAGGAAGUCCAAGGCACAAGGGCUAUAAAUGUUAAGGAUUGCCUGACUGCGACAACUAUUGGGUUCCGUGUCACCAUGCAGUGUCACAAUAAGGCCAUUGAUCCAGUGUAGUUGUUGGGCAUGCACAUUGUGGAAUGGUUGUAGCAACUCGCUGGACUGCGGAUCAGGCCAUUGCCUUCCUCAGCAGAGCAGUCGGGAAAUUUUUGGACUACAGAAUUAGGUAAGUAAUUGAAUAUAUUUUUAUGGUACAAAAAGCUUUCCAUUCAAAUGUUUUGCAAAACUUGACCUUUUCUUUUGUAAACAAAGACUAGAACCAUGGAAGAAGUUACUGAGUUAGCCUAAUCUAAGAUAGAACAUAUGCACUUUUGGAAAGCUUUUUUGAUUGCUAAAUCCGGUUAUCAAAGCUAAGAAGCAACUUUUCUAAACAUAUAGUUUGAGAAGUUGUUACUCUUUGUGCACUGUGUGUGCUGCUUCUUUUGAACGUUCAGAGCUGAAGGUCAUUUCUGCUCUAAUGUUAUACAUUUUCAUUAGCAUGACGCAAGGUUAAUUUAUUUCUUCUUAUCUUGUUACUUAUUUUUCAAAUAUUAUAAACCGCUGAUGCCCGAAUCCUGCUUUAUUCAAUUGAAUGUAAAGUUCUCUCCUUCAAUAUUCUAAUGCUUUACUAAUUUGUAAUAUGUGAGAAACCGAGAAGAAGGGUGCAUGCACAAUUUAUACCAGCAUCACAUGCCAAAUUGGUUUCUCUUUGUGUUAGUUUUCUUCUCAAACUGGCAAGGUGUAGAGAUUAGAUUCUUUUCCCUUCAAACGAAUAUAAGACGCUCUUCUUUACUUUCCGAUUCAUUCAUUUAUUUUUGACACUCUGUUCAUUUAAAAUUUUGAAGUUCAAAUGAAUAAGUAUGUUUUUAUUGUGUAGUCCCGAGAGAUGAAGUAAGAGUUGCAGUUGAUCAUGUUAUCCAAACAAGGCUUGAUCCAACAAACAUAAUGACUUGAUUAAUUGGGCUUAUAAGUUGGUUGCAUCAACUGAUAGAUGCACUAAUGUAUGUAAGUGAAAUUAUAUCCUUGAGUCAUGAUUGGCAUAUUUCCUUGCUUGAUGAAGGUUCCAUCUCUACAUAAUAGUUUUCUAUGCAUAUGAAACUGCACUAUAUAGACAAAAGGUGGACGACUGCAAAUCCAGUGGCCGUUACUUCGUUGUGGACAUGGGAGUCGUCUGAAUUUUGUCGUCCAUAUAGCAAUGUUCCUACGCAUAUCCUGUCAAGUAAAAAAAUUCAUGAAAAUAUGAGGUGGGCCGUGGGCAUCAAUCUUUCGCAGGUUCAGGGUUGAAAAUGUCGACAACUUUGUAUGGUUGAAGGAUAUUCCAAGAUUUCCCACUCUCGCAAGAAAACAACUUGGCUCACUUAUGAUAAGAUGUUCUGGUGUUAAGUUUCUCCUCUUUUAUGGACCAAGAAGAUGAAUUAUUUUGAAAACAUCAACUGCAUUUGUACUAACAGAGCAUUUUUUAGCUGACAGAGCAUUUGUUGUGAUGGUGUUGGAAGCGUCGUGUAUGGCAAAGGUAGCUCCCGUUGUAGUGCAGAGCAGAGUUAGCACCAUUCAAGUCCAUUAUUGAAUGUGUGUAUAUUACCAAAUGAUGUAUGUCUCAUUUUCAUAUUAAAGUGUGGCUUCUAUGGCAAAAAAAAGCUUGCGGCAAAGCCGAGGAGAUGGAUUGCAAGGGGGAAGAGAAGAUGUUUUCAUAGAUUAAAUUUUGUAAGAAAAGUAGUGUGUAUAUACUCUAUCUGUGAUUUAACUUUGACCACCAAACUUA